GUGAAAAUGCUUAGAUAUGAUAUAGAACACCAAUAGCGAAGGCAGCUUACUACGCAGUUAUUGACACUGAGGCUCGAAAGCGUGGGGAUCAAACAGGAUUAGAUACCCUGGUAGUCCACGCCCUAAACUAUGGAUACUCGACAUCAGCGAUACACUGUUGGUGUCUGAGCGAAAGCAUUAAGUAUCCCACCUGGGGAAGUACGUCCGCAAGGAUGAAACUCAAAGGAAUUGGCGGGGGGUCCGCACAAGCGGUGGAGGCAUGUGGUUUAAUUCGAUACGCGAGGAACCUUACCUGGGCUAGAAUGCAUUUUGAUCGUGGGUGAAAGGCUCAUUUUAUAGCAAUAUACAUUUGUAAGGUGCUGCAUGGCUGUCGUCAGCUCGUGCCGUGAGUGUGGUAUCCGCACGAGCGCAACCCCUAUCAUUAGUUG
Molecule: ribosomal RNA, 428 nt
Filed under: uncultured bacterium
Lineage: Bacteria
Description: bacterial SSU rRNA
Rfam family: Bacterial small subunit ribosomal RNA
Source: RNAcentral